GGCUGGUUAGCUCAGUUGAUUGAGUGUGGUGCUGACAACGCCAAGGUCAUGGGUUCGAUUCCCGUUCGGUCC
This 72-nucleotide transfer RNA is filed under the name Apaloderma vittatum (bar-tailed trogon). It matches the Rfam family "tRNA". Rfam says of the family: Transfer RNA (tRNA) molecules are approximately 80 nucleotides in length. Their secondary structure includes four short double-helical elements and three loops (D, anti-codon, and T loops). Lineage: Eukaryota; Metazoa; Chordata; Aves; Trogoniformes; Trogonidae. The record is from Rfam by way of RNAcentral.